Molecule: long non-coding RNA, 1274 nt
Organism: Zea mays
Lineage: Eukaryota; Viridiplantae; Streptophyta; Magnoliopsida; Poales; Poaceae
Exons: 4
Source: RefSeq, a predicted model, not a curated record
CUCUGGUGAGCAGGAUGACCGCCCUCCCGUGGUUGCUGAUUCCCUGUACCAGGCACUUGGUAUUCCUCCCACGUUCUUUGCGACAGGGACUUCUCUGGAGUAGGCAAGGCUAAGUGCAAGGGCAGUGCUCCAGGACGAAGGGGGGUGCGGAUGGUGUCACUGCUGUGAAGUCCGUACCGGAGCGUGGAGCUAGCGUUGGCCACCAUCGUCGCCUUGUGCUGCAGGUUCAUUCACAACCACAGAAGAAGCCUCGCUUCGUGGAAAGGCCAUCUAAUUGGAGAAAAAACGUAUUCACUUUCAUGAUUUCAUGUUGAAUGUACAUAGUCGUCUUCAAUUAAUUUGUUUAUAUGUGCAAACUGCCUUCAGAAGUACCCUGUUCCAAGCUUCGGCCUUCAGUAAGAUAUGAUAAUUGUUGUCAUGGCUGACACUCUUGUCGAUAUACAGAUGCACAAAGGUGUUUCAGAUCCCCUUGAUGUUGUAGCAGCUGAGAUUUCAUAUGAGGCCAUCAUAUUAUGUCUUGAUGAGUUUAUGGUAUAAUUUUCUGAGGUUAAAUAUUCCACCAGUGUUCUAAUACAUAUGUUUGUAACAAGCCCUACUCUACUGCACAGGUAACUGAUAUUGCUGAUGCUAUGAUUCUGAAUCGUCUGUUCAGACAAUUGUUCAGCAAAGGCGUUGUAUGUGGCUACUAUUUUCUUCCAUUUUCUUAUGGGACUAAACCACUCAGGUUAUCUAUACAAUGCAUCAACUUUUGACAUGGAUUUAUUUGCAUGUUUUGUGCUCAGAUUCUUGUUUUGACUUCUAACUGUGCUCCAGAUAAGCUUUAUGAAGGUGGCUUACAACGAGACCUUUUCUUGCCAUUUAUUGACACCUUGAAAAGCUGAAAUUCGAAUUCAGUUUCGCCAUGCCCCUAGUAAUAUCUACCGUGAACGCUUUGGCCAUGACAUAGAUCUCGACACAAACGAGCUGGUUCUACGCGAUCAACCUGAAUAAGCAAUCCUAUUGAAAGUCAACAACAAGGUCCCAGGGCUUGGGCUCCAAUUGGAUGCUUCAGAACUGAACCUGCUUUACCGGGAUAGAUACAACACCGAGGUACCAGAUUCGUAUGAACAUCUUCUACUGGAUGUGCUAGAUGGAGAUAGUCAUUUAUUCAUGCGCAGCGACGAGCUGGUUGCCGCAUGGAACGUGCUGACUCCGAUAAUCCAUGAGAUCGAUCAGAACGGAGUAGUUCCUGAGCUCUAUGAGGCUGGGGACAGAGGGUCUAUCAAUGCUUACCA